Long non-coding RNA from Bolinopsis microptera, 344 nucleotides. RefSeq lists it as uncharacterized. The transcript is spliced from 3 exons. Lineage: Eukaryota; Metazoa; Ctenophora; Tentaculata; Lobata; Bolinopsidae. The record is from RefSeq and is a predicted model, not a curated record.
AGUAUGUUUGAGUACGUGCACAUCUUGAUUGUUAUUGCUUUUCUACAAGCACCGUGCUCUUCAACAGACCUCUCAAAUAUGCCACCACCAUCAGAUAUAAAAGAACUAGCAAUUGAUGAUCUAAAAGAUCUCUUGAUAACGUCUAUACAGAAUACAAUGUCCUUACAAAACUUGGUGACUCAACAGACCCAGAUGAUCGUCAACAUCAUGCUUUUGGUAGGAGAAACGUCUAACAAAGUGGAAGAGCUGGAAACAACACUGACUCGGGAAAUGGAAAACUUGAAAGCAACCAUGAACGAGGAAGUUGUUGUCUUGAAAUUGAAACUGGAGACAUUAGAGGAUAA